This 1908-nucleotide long non-coding RNA is filed under the name Sorghum bicolor (sorghum). RNAcentral's name for it is "long non-coding RNA (SBIC_LNC015444)". Lineage: Eukaryota; Viridiplantae; Streptophyta; Magnoliopsida; Poales; Poaceae. The record is from RNAcentral.
ACAGGAAUAAAUUAUUUAUUUAUUAUUUAAUAAUAAUCUCUUGUUAUUUGUCUGUGGUACUCUGAAGUGAAGACCAUGAGGAUGCUCAAGAUGAACAUGCAUCUCAUAUUCUAGUUUGCAAAGCAGAGGCACGUAUAAAGACCAUCAAAAUGGAAUGGAGUGGAUAUUCUUUGUGAACUGAUGUGUGCUCUAGGUGUUUACUUGUAAUAAGGAUGCAUGAUUCACAUGCGAACUACGUCUUCAAUGAUUCAGUGAUACAUUUCUACGGGAUAGUUCAUGUUUCGUUUGUUAUUUAAUUAGUAUCUAGAUGGAUGUUAUAUAUGAUAAAGUAGGCUAAUUUGAACAUGGACAGAAUGAAACAAAUUUCAGUAUACCUAGGGAUCUCGCUAGAAAUAUUGUACUCAUGUAUAUAUUAGGCCUUGCACAGAGUGAUGCCUUGCCUACCACUGCAGCUCAAGAGGGAGCCAUGCCCAUUCUAUAGGGUAGAUCUCUUUUUAUUUCUGGCACCACUAGCACACUGUGGAAGGCCUUACCGGAUUAUAUUCUUCUGGGCGAUUAGUGUAUUGAUUUGUUGUUUUUCAAUAGGCAGAUAAACAUGGCUUUAACUGCAUCAACCAGAUCAUGUACAGCUAUGUCUGAUCCAUUUGCAAAUAGAUAGACGGGGCUGGUUGGGCAUAAGAGAUAAACUGUUCUUCGAUCUGGUCCUUAUAAGGAAAACCAUAUAGAAUUAGCUAGGACUGCGGCACUAGAGUCUAUCUGAAUUUCCAAGCCUCAUUACAUUUAAAUGAAUACUCCCCCAUUGCUAGCCUGGUCUCUGCAUUUGACCAUUAUAUGGUCCUCUUUGUAAGUCUCUUGGGUUCGGCUAUUGUUAGUGUAGUUAGAUAAUCCGCAACCCCUGGGCAUCUGGCCAAGCGCACGAUCACUCUACAAAGUUCAUUCGUCAUGCACCAUGGCAACACUGAGACCAUACAAGGAAGAUGCUGGACUGAAGAAACGUGUCAGCACUGUAUGCCAUCAACAUGGUUUCCUGAUGCCUCACAGGCCCAUAUGUACAUACAUGUCUCCUAUGUCCUAUGGAGAUAAAAAAUGAAAGAUCCAAGGGUCAUAAGUGCGUGAGUGCCUUACUGCCUCAAUGAGAAGGGUGACCCUUGCGACUUGCGAGAAGGUAGCUAGAGACGUAUUGUGACUUGAGAGUGCUCCAACUUUUAAAAUUUUGUGCUGCUCUUAUAUGCACACAUUUUCCAUGGAAGAUCAUACUUAACUUGCUCUGUACUAGAAACUCGAAUUGUUCUGUGUGUGCGAAAACGCACAGAACAAUGCGAAUACCGUCAGAAAAAUAAUUUUCUGACGGUGUACCGUCAGAAACAUACACACAGAAAUAGAGUGACGGAAACAUAGAAUUUUUCUGUGUGUUCACCGUCAGAAAUAAUUUUUCAGUGUGUCUUACACGCACAGAAAAAAGUGUUAGCUCAAAUUAAACUUAAAUUCCACAUGUGCUAAACCUCACAAAAAAAAAGAAAAACCCAUGUGGUCCCGACAGAAUUUAGAGGCGCAUUAUUUUCCUGUCAAGCUUGGUUGACGCACAAAAAAUUACUAUUUUUCUGUCGAUGUAAAGAGAGCACGGAUAGAAAAAAUAAAUAGCAAAUUGGAUAUAAUGAUUAUUUGGAAACAGUAGCAACAUCAUAGUCAAAUACGGGCUGUCCAUAUAACAAAUAAAUAGCAUGCAUAUAAAGAUCCAAAUGUUCAUCACAUUCAUUCAUAGCAUCUAGGCUAUAUGUAGAUGUCCAAAUGGUCCGGCAUCAUUACAUUCAAAAGCAUUACCAUCUCAUCUUAGCAAUUCAAGUUUCAGCUAAGAUGAAUAAAAUACCAACAUGCAUCAUUGAGUCGUAUUAUAGCUAAAACUAAAGC